GUCCUAGAGAGGACAUCUGAUAAAAUUGGAACAAUACAGAGAAUAUUAACAUGGUUUCUACACAAAGUUGACAUGCAUAAAUGGAGAAAUGAACCAAAUUUAU
Molecule: small nuclear RNA, 103 nt
Organism: Malus domestica (apple)
Lineage: Eukaryota; Viridiplantae; Streptophyta; Magnoliopsida; Rosales; Rosaceae
Source: RefSeq, a predicted model, not a curated record